AGCGAACGCUGGCGGCAGGCUUAACACAUGCAAGUCGAACGCCCCGCAAGGGGAGUGGCAGACGGGUGAGUAACACGUGGGAACGUACCCUUUGGUUCGGAAUAACUUGGGGAAACUCAAGCUAAUACCGGAUAAGCCCUUAUGGGGAAAGGUUUACUGCCGAAGGAUCGGCCCGCGUCUGAUUAGCUAGUUGGUGAGGUAAUGGCUCACCAAGGCGACGAUCAGUAGCUGGUCUGAGAGGAUGAUCAGCCACACUGGGACUGAGACACGGCCCAGACUCCUACGGGAGGCAGCAGUGGGGAAUAUUGGACAAUGGGGGCAACCCUGAUCCAGCCAUGCCGCGUGAGUGAUGAAGGCCUUAGGGUUGUAAAGCUCUUUUACCCGGGACGAUAACGACUGUACCGCAAGAAUAAGCCCCGGCUAACUUCGUGCCAGCAGCCGCCGUAA
RNAcentral lists this ribosomal RNA (447 nucleotides) under uncultured bacterium. Its description in RNAcentral is "partial 16S ribosomal RNA". It matches the Rfam family "Bacterial small subunit ribosomal RNA", at positions 29 to 523 of the family's 1533-position model. The record is from RNAcentral.